This 393-nucleotide ribosomal RNA is filed under the name uncultured bacterium. RNAcentral describes it as "bacterial SSU rRNA". It matches the Rfam family "Bacterial small subunit ribosomal RNA", at positions 524 to 916 of the family's 1533-position model. The record is from RNAcentral.
UACGAAGGGGGCUAGCGUUGCUCGGAAUCACUGGGCGUAAAGGGUGCGUAGGCGGGUCUUUAAGUCAGGGGUGAAAUCCUGGAGCUCAACUCCAGAACUGCCUUUGAUACUGAAGAUCUUGAGUUCGGGAGAGGUGAGUGGAACUGCGAGUGUAGAGGUGAAAUUCGUAGAUAUUCGCAAGAACACCAGUGGCGAAGGCGGCUCACUGGCCCGAUACUGACGCUGAGGCGCGAAAGCGUGGGGAGCAAACAGGAUUAGAUACCCUGGUAGUCCACGCCGUAAACGAUGUGUGCUAGACGUUGGGAGGCGUAGCCUCUCGGUGUCGCAGCUAACGCGUUAAGCACACCGCCUGGGGAGUACGGCCGCAAGGUUAAAACUCAAAUGAAUUGACGG